AUACUUACCUGGUAGAGGAGAUACCAUGAUCACGAAGGUGGUUUUCCCAGGGGGAGGCUUGUCCACUGCACUCCCCAUCUGCUGACCCCUGUGAUUUCCCCAAAUGUGGGAAACUCAACUGCAUAAUUUGUGGUAGUGGGGGACUGCAUUUGCGCUCUCUCCUG
RNAcentral lists this small nuclear RNA (164 nucleotides) under Echinops telfairi (small Madagascar hedgehog). RNAcentral's name for it is "U1 spliceosomal RNA (ENSETEG00000022055.1)". It matches the Rfam family "U1 spliceosomal RNA". Rfam says of the family: U1 is a small nuclear RNA (snRNA) component of the spliceosome (involved in pre-mRNA splicing). Its 5' end forms complementary base pairs with the 5' splice junction, thus defining the 5' donor site of an intron. The record is from RNAcentral. Lineage: Eukaryota; Metazoa; Chordata; Mammalia; Afrosoricida; Tenrecidae.